AUUGAACGCUGGCGGAAUGCUUUACACAUGCAAGUCGAACGGUAGAGGGGGCAACCCCUCGAGAGUGGCGAACGGGUGAGUAAUAUAUCGGAACGUGCCCAGUCGUGGGGGAUAACGUAGCGAAAGUUACGCUAAUACCGCAUACGAUCUAAGGAUGAAAGCGGGGGAUCGCAAGACCUAGCGCGAUUGGAGCGGCCGAUAUCAGAUUAGGUAGUUGGUGGGGUAAAGGCUCACCAAGCCAACGAUCUGUAGCUGGUCUGAGAGGACGACCAGCCACACUGGAGCUAAGACACGGUCCGGACUCCUACGGGAGGCAGCAGUGGGUAAUUUUGGACAAUGGACGCAAGUCUGAUCCAGCCAUUCCGCGUGCAGGAUGAAGGCCCUCGGGUUGUAAACUGCUUUUGUACGGAACGAAAAGGUCUCUCUUAAUACGGGGGACUCAUGACGGUACCGUAAGAAUAAGCACCGGCUAACUACGUGCCAGCCGCCGCCGUAA
This 496-nucleotide ribosomal RNA is filed under the name uncultured bacterium. Its description in RNAcentral is "partial 16S ribosomal RNA". It matches the Rfam family "Bacterial small subunit ribosomal RNA", at positions 30 to 523 of the family's 1533-position model. The record is from RNAcentral.